This 497-nucleotide ribosomal RNA is filed under the name uncultured bacterium. Its description in RNAcentral is "partial 16S ribosomal RNA". It matches the Rfam family "Bacterial small subunit ribosomal RNA", at positions 28 to 507 of the family's 1533-position model. The record is from RNAcentral.
GAUGAACGCUGGCGGCGUGCCUAAUACAUGCAAGUCGAGCGAACAGACGAGGAGCUUGCUCCUCUGACGUUAGCGGCGGACGGGUGAGUAACACGUGGAUAACCUACCUAUAAGACUGGGAUAACUUCGGGAAACCGGAGCUAAUACCGGAUAAUAUAUUGAACCGCAUGGUUCAAUAGUGAAAGACGGUUUUGCUGUCACUUAUAGAUGGAUCCGCGCCGCAUUAGCUAGUUGGUAUGGUAACGGCUUACCAAGGCAACGAUGCGUAGCCGGCCUGAGAGGGUGAUCGGCCACACUGGAACUGAGACACGGUCCAGACUCCUACGGGAGGCAGCAGUAGGGAAUCUUCCGCAAUGGGCGAAAGCUUGACGGAGCAACGCCGCGUGAGUGAUGAAGGUCUUCGGAUCGUAAAACUCUGUUAUUAGGGAAGAACAAAUGUGUAAGUAACUAUGCACGUCUUGACGGUACCUAAUCAGAAAGCCACGGCUAACUACGUG